Molecule: long non-coding RNA, 527 nt
Organism: Odocoileus virginianus texanus
Lineage: Eukaryota; Metazoa; Chordata; Mammalia; Artiodactyla; Cervidae
Source: RefSeq, a predicted model, not a curated record
CAGUGACUGAUCAAGGCUGGGGAGCAGUUCUUCUAGGCUGAUCUUUAUGGUCCACCGCUGCGCAUCCAUUAGCCUCUCCCCAUAACCAAGACCACACUCUCCAGGUUGGGCUUCUACCUGCACCAAACCACCCAAUCUUAGAGGCACUCACCUCCUGUGCAAGCUAGCUCAUCUCUAAAACAUGAAUCUCAGCAUCUCCAUCCUAUCCAGUCAUGCCCAUCGGCUUAGUGAUGAUCAUACCUCCUCCAAGCACAGUCCAGGAAGGGGGACCCUCAACAGUAUGACACGUGACAGUGAAUCGUGGCAACAACACAGCAGCCUCCAUGAAUCCAUCAGCAAAACCUGCAGCUGCACCUUCAGAAGGUAUCCAGCACCUGUCCACAUCACACAGCUCCACCGUUAACCACAGCAAAAGCCUCUGCUAAACAGCCCAAGAGAUCUUUUCAAAACUUUUCCCAUCCGUGAAAUGAUAAAGGCAAUGGGCAGAGAGAGAAGCAUCUUAUCACCUGCCAUCCUAACUCAUGGAC